UUUAAAGAGAUUAUAUUAAUUGGGGCUCACUUUGGUAUGAUAGAAAAGAUUAGCAUGGUCCCUGCCCAAGGGAUGACACACAAAUUCUUGGAACAUUCCGUGCUUUU
Non-coding RNA from Otolemur garnettii (small-eared galago), 107 nucleotides. NCBI's taxonomy places the organism in Eukaryota, Metazoa, Chordata, Mammalia, Primates, Galagidae. The record is from Rfam.